RNAcentral lists this ribosomal RNA (500 nucleotides) under uncultured bacterium. RNAcentral's name for it is "partial 16S ribosomal RNA". It matches the Rfam family "Bacterial small subunit ribosomal RNA", at positions 30 to 523 of the family's 1533-position model. The record is from RNAcentral.
AUUGAGCGCUGGCGGCAGGCCUAACACAUGCAAGUCGAGCGGAUGAGAGGAGCUUGCUUCUUGAUUCAGCGGCGGACGGGUGAGUAAUGCCUAGGAAUCUGCCUGGUAGUGGGGGACAACGUUUCGAAAGGAACGCUAAUACCGCAUACGUCCUACGGGAGAAAGCAGGGGACCUUCGGGCCUUGCGCUAUCAGAUGAGCCUAGGUCGGAUUAGCUAGUUGGUGAGGUAAUGGCUCACCAAGGCGACGAUCCGUAACUGGUCUGAGAGGAUGAUCAGUCACACUGGAACUGAGACACGGUCCAGACUCCUACGGGAGGCAGCAGUGGGGAAUAUUGGACAAUGGGCGAAAGCCGGAUCCAGCCAUGCCGCGUGUGUGAAGAAGGUCUUCGGAUUGUAAAGCACUUUAAGUUGGGAGGAAGGGUUGUACGUUAAUACCGUGCAAUUUUGACGUUACCGACAGAAUAAGCACCGGCUAACUCUGUGCCAGCAGCCGCCGUAA